GUCGACAUUAGUGGAAUUUAUAAAUUGAUCAGCUGUCAGUAGUGACCUAUAUCGAAAGUCUCUGGAAAAAUAGAACAGCACGAUUUGAUGGUUGCAGAUGAAUGAAGCAGAAGAGUGAAACAGUUGACUGUUAUAUCUGCCAUUUUUAGCUUUCGAUUUACCAAGCUGCUUGCUGACUUUGUGCAGAGGCCAUCAACAAAUAUUUGAAUUGCUCCUGUAGUUUUCUAUAAAUAUUUGGAACCUUGUAUCAUUGAAUAUUCUAGAAUAAGCUAAAGGAUAUGGAAAAGAUGGUGGGAAAGAAGAAAAAGAAGAAGAACAACAACAACAAUAACAAAAAGCAAAAGAUAAAAAUAAGUGACCAACUAACCACGCUUCGGACGAAUUAACUCUUCAACUAGUUUGGCUCGUAUAUGACUUUGUCGUACACAUUGAAAGCAAUAAAAUUUUCU
Molecule: long non-coding RNA, 449 nt
Organism: Octopus bimaculoides (California two-spot octopus)
Lineage: Eukaryota; Metazoa; Mollusca; Cephalopoda; Octopoda; Octopodidae
Source: RefSeq, a predicted model, not a curated record